AGCUCCAGCCCCAGCGCGUCGGCGAAACGCACUCUCUUGCGAGUGUCAGGGCUGCGGCUGCGGGCUGUCCGCGCCCCGCCACCACCCGCGGGCGCAGAGCGGGCCCUGCGCCCCCGACCCGGAACGUGAGCCCGCGAGCGGGCGCCUGGCCGGGUCCCGCCCUCCCCGGGCUCCUCCUCCGACUCCUCCUCGAGGCUGGGCCGCUGGCUGCGGUAGUACGCCCGCUCGGUCAAUGCCGCUAUAAAGCUCAGGUUGCGGGGUAUAUCCGUGCGCGGUGGCCGCUCGUGGGACAUGUCACCCCUGAGCCCCAGCGGGGCUAGCGCACAGUGCCCGGCGCGUCCUCGCUCUGCUGCCGGCUCUAUGCCCGAGCAUAAGGUGUAGGUAGGGCUGCUCAGCAGCAGCUGGCUGCGGACUCUCCUUGCUGUCAGCCCGCGUACCCUGCCUGCUCGGUUUCCUUGACCAUCUUUCCCUUCCUUUGGCGGCCAGCCCCGGUGUCAGACUAUCCGUCCUGCUCGCUUCCAGCUCUCUGCUCUGAGCGUGCGCUCAGCGGCGCCGCUCACCCUUCAGUUCUGCGGGCCUCGCUGACCCGGCCCCCGCCCACAGCCCUCUGACAGGUGGCUGGUAUCCAUCUUCACUGCUGCACCAGGGGGCGUGACUGCUUCCAUCUGGGGUCCCAGAUGAGUUACUCCUAUAUAAGAAGGGUUAAAGCAGGAAGAAAAGAGUAACCUUUCCUUUUUCUUUUUUUUCUUUUGGCACGGGAAAAUUAAAAAUGCUGAGGGUUUAAUUCUCCUUAGGGCUCAGUGUUUUCUUAAAGCCAGGCUACAGGUUUGAAGCCCGAUGGCACUGGGUGUAGUGACUGAAAGGGCGUGAAUCCUAGAUAAGAGUCUUUAGUGGAAGACUCAAAAGGAUGCGCGGUGGCAUUGGCUCACUGGCUACUGAGAAAAGUAAUGAGAACACUUAGCUUCCAGUCCUAUGUCCCCCGCUGAUUAGCUGUGUGACCUUGAGAAAGGAAUAACUUCUCUGGACCUUGAUUUUUCUCAAUCAUUAAAACAAACAAAAAUAAUUCUGAUCUCUUAUCUGUAAGUCUUUUCAAGCGUGAAGACUGUUUCUGAUUCAUGACCGUUUUUAUACAUGGUAGGUCUUCCAGUUAUUGAGAGUUGCCCUUCUUCCAAGAAGGACACAGGACAGGCUAUUUUCCAUUUUAUUUUUGAAAAAUACACUAGUGACAAUGGUAUGUCAAAUAUUUUAUAACUUCUCUUCUGAUUUUUUUUUCACAAAGAUUUGUUUCAUUUUCAGUUAUCUGCAUGGUGUUAGGGGGUUAUGUAUGCAGGAAUGCAGGUACCCACAGAGGCCAAAAGGGGACAUCAGAUAGCCUGGGACUGGCAUUACAGGUAGGUGUGAGCUGGUAUAAGUGAGUGCUGAAAUUACACUAGGGCCUCUAGAAGAGUGUUAUGUGCUCUUAACUGCCGAGCCAUGCUCCUGCUUUCUAUGGGGUUUUAUAAUACAGAACACUAGGCAUUAUUAUAGUGUUUACAAUUGUUACAAAUAUUACAGAAACAACAACAACAACAAGGCCGGGCUUGGUGGCACACACCUUUAAUCCCAGCACUCAGGAGGCAGGCAGAUUUCUGAGUUUGAGGCCAGCCUGGUCUACAAAGUGAGUUCCAGGACAGCCAGGGCUACACAGAGAAACCCUGUCUCACCCCCCCCUAAACUAAAACAACAACAACAAUAACUCAAAAAAACAAAAACAAACAAAUAAACACCCAAAUAUUACAGAGGAGAAAAUUGAGAGGGAAAAGAUCUUGCCCAGGGAGUGUCAGAUAGUUACCAAUUGUGGAGCUAGGAUUAGGACCUCAGCAGCCAAAUUCUAGAGUUCACUCUUCUAUUCAUUUAGUUUUAUACAGCAUUAAAAUAUAAUCGAUAAUAAUGGCGACACUGGUAUUUUUGUUAAAUGAUAAUGUUAGCAUCUAAUAUAGAAGUGGACAGUAUGGGGCUGGAAGGCUGGCUCAGUGGUAAGAGAAUGCACUGCUUCAGGGAAUCUGGUGCCAUUUUCUAGCCUCCAGGGACACUUGCACUCACAUGAACAUAGCUCCCGCUUGGACACACACACACAGCACGUAAUUAAAAAAAAUUAAGUGACCUGAGCAUGGAGGUUCACUCCUUUAAUCCCAGGACUUGGGAAGCAGGAACAAGCAGGGUCUCUGCUUGAGACCAGCCUGGUUUACAGAGUGAAUUCCAGGAUAGCUGGGGCUACACUGAGAAAUCCAAAAUAGAUAGAUAGAUAGAUAGAUAGAUAGAUAGAUAGAUAGAUAGAUAGAUAGAAUAGUAUGGAGCCAGGCAUUGUGGUACAAGUGUAUACCUUUUUUUUAAAGAUUUAUUUAUUUACUAUAUGUAAGUACGCUGUAACUGUCUUCAGAUACACCAGAAGAGGGAGUCAGAUCUCAUUAUGAAUGGUUGUAAGCCACCAUGUGGUUGCUGGGAAUUGAACUCAGGACCUUCAGAAGAGCAGUCAGUGCUCUUAACCUCUGAGCCAUCUCUCCAGCCCCCAAGUGUAUACCUUUGAUCCCAGCACUCAAGAGGCAGAGGCAAGUAGAUCUCUGUGAGUUCAAGGCCAGCCCUGGUCUACAUGAGUUCAAGGACAGCUAUGUAGAGAGACCUUGUCUCUAAAU
Molecule: long non-coding RNA, 2672 nt
Filed under: Mus musculus (house mouse)
Lineage: Eukaryota; Metazoa; Chordata; Mammalia; Rodentia; Muridae
Description: long non-coding RNA chr14:54877010-54879682
Source: RNAcentral